Molecule: ribosomal RNA, 465 nt
Filed under: uncultured Marinilabiliaceae bacterium
Lineage: Bacteria; Pseudomonadati; Bacteroidota; Bacteroidia; Marinilabiliales; Marinilabiliaceae
Description: bacterial SSU rRNA
Rfam family: Bacterial small subunit ribosomal RNA
Source: RNAcentral
CAGCGAGGCAUGUGGUUUAAUUCGAUGCUACACGAAGAACCUUACCUGGGCUUGACAUGUAUGAGAAAGCUGGAAGAAACUCUGGCCCUCUUGUGGAGCAAUCCACGAGACCCAUACACAGGUGCUGCAUGGUUGUCGUCAGCUCGUGCCGUGAGGUGUCGGGUUAAGUCCCAUAACGAGCGCAACCCCUAUCGUUAGUUGCCAGCAAGUAAAGUUGGGACUCUAGCGAGACUGCCGGUGUAAACCGUGAGGAAGGUGGGGAUGACGUCAAAUCAGCACGGCCCUUAUAUCCAGGGCUACACACGUGUUACAAUGGUCGGUACAAAGAGCAGCCACUUGGUGACAAGGCGCUAAUCUCAAAAGCCGAUCUCAGUUCGGAUCGAAGUCUGCAACUCGACUUCGUGAAGUUGGAUUCGCUAGUAAUCGCGCAUCAGCCAUGGCGCGGUGAAUACGUUCCCGGGCCUU